RNAcentral lists this ribosomal RNA (274 nucleotides) under uncultured bacterium. RNAcentral describes it as "partial 16S ribosomal RNA". It matches the Rfam family "Bacterial small subunit ribosomal RNA", at positions 523 to 796 of the family's 1533-position model. The record is from RNAcentral.
AGACGAACCGGUCGAACGUUAUUCGGAAUUACUGGGCGUAAAGGGUUCGUAGGCGGUUAUUUAAGUCAGAUGUGAAAGCCCUGGGCUCAACCUAGGAAUUGCAUCUGAUACUGAGUAGCUAGAGUUUAAGAGAGGAGUGUGGAAUUUCCGGUGUAGCGGUGAAAUGCAUAGAGAUCGGAAGGAACAUCAGUGGCGAAGGCGGCACUCUGGCUUAAAACUGACGCUGAGGAACGAAAGCGUGGGUAGCAAACAGGAUUAGAAACCCCAGUAGUCC